Paramuricea clavata is the source of this 261-nucleotide non-coding RNA. NCBI's taxonomy places the organism in Eukaryota, Metazoa, Cnidaria, Anthozoa, Malacalcyonacea, Plexauridae. The record is from the annotation of a GenBank genome assembly.
CUCGUCAGAAAAUAACUUCAAGAGAUAUAUGUUUGACCCUUUUCUUCAAUGCGACAAUGAAGCGGCAAACAUAAUAUUAUUUGAAGACUACAUGGGGUCAGGUCUAGUGUAGGUAGUAUUAUACAAUAAGCUGUUGUAGGCAUGAAUUCUCUCGAAAGGUCGAGGUUUUUAAUCACGGAGUUUUAACUGUUUUUCAGGGAAACAAAAACCACGGUAUAUGCAACCCUACACUAGUCUAUACAACAUUGCUUUUCAACAAAU